UACAGAGGGGGCAAGCGUUGUUCGGAAUCACUGGGUGUAAAGGGUGCGUAGGCGGUCCGUUAAGUCUGAUGUGAAAGCCCUGGGCUCAACUCAGGAAUGGCAUUGGAAACUGGCGGGCUGGAGUACUGGAGAGGGAAGCGGAAUUCUCGGUGUAGAGGUGAAAUUCGUGGAUAUCGAGAGGAACACCGGUGGCGAAGGCGGCUAUCUGGACAGUGACUGACGCUGAGACGCGAAAGCGUGGGGAGCAAACAGG
Molecule: ribosomal RNA, 253 nt
Filed under: uncultured bacterium
Lineage: Bacteria
Description: partial 16S ribosomal RNA
Rfam family: Bacterial small subunit ribosomal RNA
Source: RNAcentral